AACGAACGCUGGCGGCGCGCCUAAUACAUGCAAGUCGAGCGAGAAGACGUAGCAAUACGUUUGUAAAGCGGCGAACGGGUGAGGAAUACAUGGGUAACCUACCCUCGAGUGGGGAAUAACUAGCCGAAAGGUUAGCUAAUACCGCGUACGCUCCUUGGACUUCGGUUCAGGGAGGAAAGCGAUACCGUGGGUAUCGCGCUCUUGGAUGGGCUCAUGUCCUAUCAGCUUGUUGGUGAGGUAACGGCUCACCAAGGCUUCGACGGGUAGCUGGUCUGAGAGGACGAUCAGCCACACUGGCACUGCGACACGGGCCAGACUCCUACGGGAGGCAGCAGUAAGGAAUAUUGCGCAAUGGGCGAAAGCCUGACGCAGCGACGCCGCGUGGGGGAUGAAGGUCUUCGGAUUGUAAACCCCUUUCGGGAGGGAAGAUGGAACGAGCAAUCGUUCGGACGGUACCUCCAGAAGCAGCCAC
RNAcentral lists this ribosomal RNA (472 nucleotides) under uncultured bacterium. Its description in RNAcentral is "bacterial SSU rRNA". It matches the Rfam family "Bacterial small subunit ribosomal RNA", at positions 29 to 494 of the family's 1533-position model. The record is from RNAcentral.